Molecule: ribosomal RNA, 253 nt
Filed under: uncultured bacterium
Lineage: Bacteria
Description: partial 16S ribosomal RNA
Rfam family: Bacterial small subunit ribosomal RNA
Source: RNAcentral
UACAGAGGUCCCACGCGUUGUUCGGAUUCACUGGGCGUAAAGGGUGCGUAGGCGGUCGGGUAAGUCUGACGUGAAAUCUUCAAGCUCAACUUGGAAACUGCGUCCGAUACUAUUCGGCUAGAGGAAUGGAGGGGAGACUGGAAUACUUGGUGUAGCAGUGAAAUGCGUAGAUAUCAAGUGGAACACCAGUGGCGAAGGCGAGUCUCUGGACAUUUCCUGACGCUGAGGCACGAAAGCCAGGGGAGCAAACGGG